GCAUUGCUGAGGAGUCCCACAAUAGGACGAAACGGUCUUUCAAUGC
Non-coding RNA from Schistosoma haematobium, 46 nucleotides. The record is from Rfam. Lineage: Eukaryota; Metazoa; Platyhelminthes; Trematoda; Strigeidida; Schistosomatidae.